CCCCCCCCCCCCCCCCCCCCCCCCCCCCCUCUACAUUUCCUGCUGUGUUUAAGGUUGUUAACCCUGUAAAUGCUGGAUGUAAUAUGACGACAUGGACCUAGAGAAUGCUCGGACGUUCUGCCUUGUUGUAUUCCAGACUUGGAGUUUCAGUCUCAGCCAUAAUAUGUCUGUCCAGUGGAUUUAAUGACAUCCAGAUUUGAACUGUGUUUGUGUCCUGGUGUUUAGAGAAAAGUAUCUUAUCCAUGGUUGAUCUGAGUAGGAAUCUAAAGGUUACUUUUGCAGAACUGUUGAGAAGAGGGGAAAACAAUUGACAUGUCACAUGAGAUGUGAAAAUGCUUGGCAUAUCUUUCCUCUGUUGCUGAAGUCCUUUUGCUUUUGGUUAUCCACCCAUUCAACAACCCCAACCUCCCUUCCUGUGUGGUAUGUUCACAAUGUAAAAAGCGAAAAUGUACUGAUGCUCUUAACAAUUAAAGGGCGCUGGUUAUGUGUGUGUGUGUCGUUAAGUGGGACAGACGUGUCAUGUCAAAGUCACCCCUGUCAGCCACGGCCUCGCAGCCCCUCCCAGCCCCUCCCAGCCCCCCCCAGCCCCCAGGCCUGGCCUGCAUGCCUGGCUGACAGCUUGCAGGUGUGCUGAGACCAUAAACAUGUUGUACCUGAGAGGGGGUGGAUGAAACAAGACUGUCAACCAUUCCCUUAAGACAGCCAAUUAUCAGUUAACAUGCAGAUCCAGUAGUGGGUAUUUUGAGUAUUAAAGCUGGUAAUGUUGUUUGCUCUGUUAACAGAAGACCAUCGUAUUGUACAUAAGGCUGUUUAGAGCAGACCAUUGUUUUGCCGUUUCUGUAGCAUAUUGACUCUCUUGGCUUACUCUGUGUGAAGACUAACUUUCAGUACAUUGACUAUGGAACACUUGCAGGACUGAGUUCUAUAAACAAACCUCAGUGACCAUCACCUCUGAAGAGGGUGGGGUUUCUAUCAUUACAAUCCACUUAGGCUUACACAACCCAACAUGCUGUUUCUAACAAGUAGGACAAUGUUUUAUAUUGGACUGGAAAAAUGUUUGGCAAACAUUACUCUGCAAACCUAGGUCAGAUUAUCUAUUCCUCCUCUUGCCAACAUUCAGCUGUUUUGCAUGGGAGGCGUGUUAGUGUCAACACUGCACCAGGUGCAACAGACUACAUAAAGAAGGACUGUCGGUGAGUUGCAGUGCUUAUUACAGUACAGCCAGUGCUACCAGUGUAAAUAUCACAUAGCAGACCUGCAGCAUUUGUUGUGGUUUGAGGGAGUGGCACUGUACUUUGACAAACACGCUAUGAACUGUACCCUCAGUGCACUAACAAUAGAAUAUCAACCUCAAAUACAGGUCAAUGCUGGGAGGAAUACGUGCUGUGUGAAGGAGAGAGAUGGCAGGUAGACUGGAGGUCAGAUUUGGGAGAUGGUGAAGAUGACGCCAAGCGGCCACGCCCUUUCGGAAACCAAACUGGCUUUAAUCUUGUCAGGGAUAAUGCCAUCAACUACCUCCGCUUAACACUGGACACAUCCUCCAUCAACUCAACACUUUUAGCUAUUUACUUUGUUUACGAUGAAAAAGGGUGUCUUACUGAUAGAUUGAUUACAUGAUAGAAACUAUUCAGUACAUUCUUUAUAUGAUUAGGAAUUAGUAGUGUUUUGAAUAUGAAACAAUUAUCAUGUAGCCUUAAAAAUAGUUAGUAAUUUUCUAUUGAUUCUAUUCAAGUUUUAAUACUUUUUCAUACAGUAGCAUGUUAACUAUACAACCUUCCAUUGUCAACAAGAGUAAGUCAGAUCAGAAACUAUCAUUUACCUCCUGUUUUAUGAAUCAGAGAUUUAGUCUUACCGUUCGUAUUCAAGAAAACCAUGACGAUUUGAGUAAAUAACAAAUUACGUUGACAGUUGUAUUUCACUUGGAAUAGGUUUUCAUGCUAUUAUCUGUUUUUCAUAUAUUUAAAUUUUGAUGAAGGAUAUAUAAUAGGGAACAUUUUAACAUUUUUGAAAAAUCGGUCCACCGCUCAGUCGAUGAAGUGUAAUGGUUUACAUAACUGCUGAUUCUAACCAUGUCAGUCAACUUCCAAACACUGAGUGCGUACACAAACUGCCAGUUCUUCAAACAAAUAUCAGUGUGGAACCUCCCCUCUCAAUUGAUUUGAAUAAUUUUUAAAAGGCCUGAUUGAUUACCAAGUGUUUAAGAAUGAUUUCUUUCAACAGGAUAUUUACCCCAUAUUUGUCUUUGUUUUAAUAACAUUAAAAGACACUUUGGAGAAUAAACGUCA
Long non-coding RNA from Hypomesus transpacificus, 2285 nucleotides. RefSeq lists it as uncharacterized. The record is from RefSeq and is a predicted model, not a curated record. The transcript is spliced from 2 exons. NCBI's taxonomy places the organism in Eukaryota, Metazoa, Chordata, Actinopteri, Osmeriformes, Osmeridae.